Molecule: ribosomal RNA, 411 nt
Filed under: uncultured bacterium
Lineage: Bacteria
Description: bacterial SSU rRNA
Rfam family: Bacterial small subunit ribosomal RNA
Source: RNAcentral
CGGCACGCCUAACACAUGCAAGUCGAACGAAGUAGCAAUACUUAGUGGCAGACGGGUGAGUAACAUGUGGGUAUCUACCCUUUGGCCUGGAAUAACACGAGGAAACUUGUGCUAAUACCGGAUAAGUCUUUACGGAGAAAGCUUUAUGCACCAUUGGAUGAGCCCGCACUUGAUUAGUUUGUUGGUAGGGUAAUGGCCUACCAAGACUAUGAUCAAUAGCUGAUUUGAGAGGAUGAUCAGCCACAUUGGGACUGAGACACGGCCCAAACUCCUACGGGAGGCAGCAGUGGGGAAUCUUGCACAAUGGAGGAAACUCUGAUGCAGCGAUGCCGCGUGAGUGAAGAAGGCCUUUGGGUUGUAAAGCUCUUUCGUCGGGGAAGAAAAUGACUGUACCCGAAUAAGAAGGUCCGG